RNAcentral lists this ribosomal RNA (366 nucleotides) under uncultured eukaryote. RNAcentral's name for it is "partial 18S ribosomal RNA". It matches the Rfam family "Eukaryotic small subunit ribosomal RNA", at positions 592 to 976 of the family's 1831-position model. The record is from RNAcentral.
CAAUAGCGUAUAUUAACGUUGUUGCAGUUAAAAAGCUCGUAGUUGGAUUUCUGGAGGGAGCGUCGGCCCGUAUUUACGAGUGCGUGACGUCUCUGUCCAUCCUUGCGGGAAGGCACGGCAUUGAUUUGUUGUGUCGGAUCGCAUCAUUUACUGUGAAAAAAUUAGAGUGUUCAAAGCAGGCUUUCGCUUGAAUACAUUAGCAUGGAAUAAUAAGAUAGGACCUUGGUGCUAUUUUGUUGGUUGAGCCUAAAGUAAUGAUUAAUAGGGAUAGUUGGGGGCACCUGUAUUGCGUUGUCAGAGGUGAAAUUCUUGGAUUUACGCAAGACAAACAGCUGCGAAAGCGUCUGCCAAGGAUGUUUUCAUUAA